GCAGCAGUAGGGAAUCUUCCACAAUGGACGCAAGUCUGAUGGAGCAACGCCGCGUGAGUGAAGAAGGGUUUCGGCUCGUAAAGCUCUGUUGUUAAAGAAGAACGUGUGGUGAGAGUAACUGUUCACCCAGUGACGGUAUUUAACCAGAAAGCCACGGCUAACUACGUGCCAGCAGCCGCGGUAAUACGUAGGUGGCAAGCGUUAUCCGGAUUUAUUGGGCGUAAAGCGAGCGCAGGCGGUCUUUUAAGUCUAAUGUGAAAGCCUUCGGCUCAACCGAAGAAGUGCAUUGGAAACUGGGAGACUUGAGUGCAGAAGAGGACAGUGGAACUCCAUGUGUAGCGGUGAAAUGCGUAGAUAUAUGGAAGAACACCAGUGGCGAAGGCGGCUGUCUGGUCUGUAACUGACGCUGAGGCUCGAAAGCAUGGGUAGCGAACAGGAUUAGAUACCCUGGUAGUCCAUGCCGUAAACGAUGAUUACUAAGUGUUGGAGGGUUUCCGCCCUUCAGUGCUGCAGCUAACGCAUUAAGGAAUCCGCCUGGGGAGUACGACCGCAAGGUUGAAACUCAAAG
This 568-nucleotide ribosomal RNA is filed under the name bacterium DWS2B. RNAcentral's name for it is "bacterial SSU rRNA". It matches the Rfam family "Bacterial small subunit ribosomal RNA", at positions 348 to 906 of the family's 1533-position model. The record is from RNAcentral.